RNAcentral lists this transfer RNA (90 nucleotides) under Candidatus Daviesbacteria bacterium RIFCSPHIGHO2_01_FULL_38_8b. RNAcentral's name for it is "tRNA-Ser". It matches the Rfam family "tRNA". Rfam says of the family: Transfer RNA (tRNA) molecules are approximately 80 nucleotides in length. The record is from RNAcentral. Lineage: Bacteria; Candidatus Daviesiibacteriota. RNAcentral also lists the same sequence under 6 other names.
GGAGAGGUGUCUGAGUGGCCGAUAGACCACGCUUGGAAAGCGUGUAUACUCGUAAGAGUAUCGAGGGUUCGAAUCCCUCCCUCUCCGCCU